This 425-nucleotide ribosomal RNA is filed under the name uncultured bacterium. RNAcentral describes it as "bacterial SSU rRNA". It matches the Rfam family "Bacterial small subunit ribosomal RNA", at positions 355 to 796 of the family's 1533-position model. The record is from RNAcentral.
UAGGGAAUCUUGCCCAAUGGGCGAAAGCCUGAGGCAGCAACGCCGCGUGCGGGAUGACGGCCCUUGGGUUGUAAACCGCUUUCAGCAGGGACGAAGAUGACGGUACCUGCAGAAGAAGCCCCGGCCAACUACGUGCCAGCAGCCGCGGUAAGACGUAGGGGGCAAGCGUUGUCCGGAUUUAUUGGGCGUAAAGAGCUCGUAGGCGGCUCGGCAAGUCAGGUGUGAAAACUCCAGGCUCAACCUGGAGACGCCACCUGAUACUGCUGUGGCUAGAGUCCGGUAGGGGAACACGGAAUUCCCGGUGUAGCGGUGAAAUGCUUAGAUAUCGGGAGGAACACCAGUGGCGAAGGCGGUGUUCUGGGCCGGAACUGACGCUGAGGAGCGAAAGCGUGGGUAGCAAACAGGAUUAGAUACCCCUGUAGUCC